This 497-nucleotide ribosomal RNA is filed under the name uncultured bacterium. RNAcentral describes it as "partial 16S ribosomal RNA". It matches the Rfam family "Bacterial small subunit ribosomal RNA", at positions 28 to 507 of the family's 1533-position model. The record is from RNAcentral.
GAUGAACGCCGGCGGCGUGCCUAAUACAUGCAAGUCGAGCGAACGGACGAGAAGCUUGCUUUUCUGAUGUUAGCGGCGGACGGGUGAGUAACACGUGGAUAACCUACCUAUAAGACUGGGAUAACUUCGGGAAACCGGAGCUAAUACCGGAUAAUAUUUUGAACCGCAUGGUUCAAAAGUGAAAGACGGUCUUGCUGUCACUUAUAGAUGGAUCCGCGCUGCAUUAGCUAGUUGGUAAGGUAACGGCUUACCAAGGCAACGAUGCAUAGCCGACCUGAGAGGGUGAUCGGCCACACUGGAACUGAGACACGGUCCAGACUCCUACGGGAGGCAGCAGUAGGGAAUCUUCCGCAAUGGGCGAAAGCCUGACGGAGCAACGCCGCGUGAGUGAUGAAGGUCUUCGGAUCGUAAAACUCUGUUAUUAGGGAAGAACAUAUGUGUAAGUAACUGUGCACAUCUUGACGGUACCUAAUCAGAAAGCCACGGCCAACUACGUG